GGAAUAUUGCACAAUGGGCGCAAGCCUGAUGCAGCAACGCCGCGUGCGGGAUGACGGCCUUCGGGUUGUAAACCGCUUUUAGUAAGGAAGAAGGGGAGCUUGCUCCUUGACGGUACUUGCAGAAAAAGGACCGGCUAACUACGUGCCAGCAGCCGCGGUAAUACGUAGGGUCCGAGCGUUGUCCGGAAUUAUUGGGCGUAAAGAGCUCGUAGGCGGUUUGUCGCGUCUGCUGUGAAAACUAGAGGCUCAACCUCUAGCCUGCAGUGGGUACGGGCAGACUGGAGUGCGGUAGGGGAGAAUGGAAUUCCUGGUGUAGCGGUGGAAUGCGCAGAUAUCAGGAGGAACACCGAUGGCGAAGGCAGUUCUCUGGGCCGUAACUGACGCUGAGGAGCGAAAGCGUGGGGAG
This 406-nucleotide ribosomal RNA is filed under the name uncultured bacterium. RNAcentral's name for it is "bacterial SSU rRNA". It matches the Rfam family "Bacterial small subunit ribosomal RNA", at positions 358 to 768 of the family's 1533-position model. The record is from RNAcentral.